AACGAACGCUGGCGGCAGGCUUAACACAUGCAAGUCGAGCGCCCCGCAAGGGGAGCGGCAGACGGGUGAGUAACGCGUGGGAAUCUACCCAUCUCUACGGAAUAACUCAGGGAAACUUGUGCUAAUACCGUAUACGCCCUUUUGGGAAAAGAUUUAUCGGAGAUGGAUGAGCCCGCGUUGGAUUAGCUAGUUGGUGGGGUAAAGGCCUACCAAGGCGACGAUCCAUAGCUGGUCUGAGAGGAUGAUCAGCCACAUUGGGACUGAGACACGGCCCAAGCUCCUACGGGAGGCAGCAGUGGGGAAUAUUGGACAAUGGGCGCAAGCCUGAUCCAGCCAUGCCGCGUGAGUGAUGAAGGCCCUAGGGUUGUAAAGCUCUUUCACCGGAGAAGAUAAUGACGGUAUCCGGGGAAGAAGCCCCGGCUAACUUCGUGCCAGCCGCCGCAGUAA
This 447-nucleotide ribosomal RNA is filed under the name uncultured bacterium. Its description in RNAcentral is "partial 16S ribosomal RNA". It matches the Rfam family "Bacterial small subunit ribosomal RNA", at positions 29 to 523 of the family's 1533-position model. The record is from RNAcentral.